CAGCACCUCAAGUGGUCAGGAUGAUUAUUGGGCCUAAAGCAUCCGUAGCCGGCGCUGUAAGUUUUCGGUUAAAUCUGUACGCUCAACGUACAGGCUGCCGGGAAUACUGCAGCGCUAGGGAGUGGGAGAGGUAGACGGUACUCGGUAGGAAGGGGUAAAAUCCUUUGAUCUAUUGAUGACCACCUGUGGCGAAGGCGGUCUACCAGAACACGUCCGACGGUGAGGGACGAAAGCCAGGGGAGCAAACCGGAUUAGAUACCCGUGUAGUCC
This 270-nucleotide ribosomal RNA is filed under the name uncultured archaeon. RNAcentral's name for it is "partial 16S ribosomal RNA". It matches the Rfam family "Archaeal small subunit ribosomal RNA", at positions 477 to 747 of the family's 1478-position model. The record is from RNAcentral.